This 381-nucleotide transfer-messenger RNA is filed under the name Streptantibioticus rubrisoli. Its description in RNAcentral is "Streptomyces rubrisoli Standard tmRNA". It matches the Rfam family "transfer-messenger RNA". From Rfam's summary of the family: Bacterial tmRNA, also known as 10Sa RNA or SsrA, is named for its dual tRNA and mRNA-like properties. The record is from RNAcentral. Lineage: Bacteria; Bacillati; Actinomycetota; Actinomycetes; Kitasatosporales; Streptomycetaceae.
GGGGAUGAUCGGUUUCGACUGCGGUUGUUGAGGCAGGGGAAGCGAGCCGAGGAACGCGGUAAUGAUCUCGUAAACCAUGUACCGCAAAAAAAUAAUCGCCAACACCAAGCGCGAUUCCUUCGCCCUCGCUGCCUGAUCUAACAGACAGCGACUUUGCGAAGUGUCAGCCCGGGGCUGUUCCCGACCCGGAUCCUGGCAUCAGCUAGGGGACUCAACCACUAGGCCCGGCCACGGGGGCUAGUGGGAAACCAAACAGUGGCUGAGCCCGUCGGCAGCUUGUCUGCGUGACUGCCGGGGCCGAGAAAAGCACAGCAGACUGCGCUCGGAGAAGCCCUGGUUCUGCACCGUAGGACGCGGGUUCGAUUCCCGCCAUCUCCACGA